RNAcentral lists this vault RNA (101 nucleotides) under Cavia aperea (Brazilian guinea pig). RNAcentral describes it as "Vault RNA (ENSCAPG00000002720.1)". It matches the Rfam family "Vault RNA". From Rfam's summary of the family: This family of RNAs are found as part of the enigmatic vault ribonucleoprotein complex. The complex consists of a major vault protein (MVP), two minor vault proteins (VPARP and TEP1), and several small untranslated RNA molecules. Lineage: Eukaryota; Metazoa; Chordata; Mammalia; Rodentia; Caviidae. The record is from RNAcentral.
GGGCUGGCUUUCGCCCAGUGGUUCCUUGGAGUCUGGCUUCUCAACCGACUGGGCCGAUUGAUCUGGUGGUUCGAGACCCGCGGGCACUCUCCAGUCCUUAA